CCACCGUAGCUAAUACUAACAUUUCUUUGAAUCAAGGAAAGGAGAAAAUGGAGAAUCUCACAAGAAUCCUACUCUUAGUAUGUUUUGCAGUCUUGUCAGAGGGCAGUGACCUGACUGGGAGUGUCUUCACCUUCCCAACACUUGGACGCGUUGAUCAUGUGACUUUGACUCCAGCCG
Clupea harengus (Atlantic herring) is the source of this 177-nucleotide long non-coding RNA. RefSeq lists it as uncharacterized. The record is from RefSeq and is a predicted model, not a curated record. Lineage: Eukaryota; Metazoa; Chordata; Actinopteri; Clupeiformes; Clupeidae.